CCUACGGGUGGCAGCAGUCGAGAAUCAUUCACAAUGGGGGAAACCCUGAUGGUGCGACGCCGCGUGGGGGAAUGAAGGUCUUCGGAUUGUAAACCCCUGUCAUGUGGGAGCAAAUUAAAAAGAUAGUACCACAAGAGGAAGAGACGGCUAACUCUGUGCCAGCAGCCGCGGUAAUACAGAGGUCUCAAGCGUUGUUCGGAAUCACUGGGCGUAAGGCGUGCGUAGGCUGUUUCGUAAGUCGUGUGUGAAAGGCGCGGGCUCAACCCGCGGACGGCACAUGAUACUGGGAGACUAGAGUAAUGGAGGGGGAACCGGAAUUCUCGGUGUAGCAGUGAAAUGCGUAGAUAUCGAGAGGAACACUCGUGGCGAAGGCGGGUUCCUGGACAUUAACUGACGCUGAGGCACGAAGGCCAGGGGAGCGAAAGGGAUUAGAUACCCGGGUAGUC
This 446-nucleotide ribosomal RNA is filed under the name uncultured bacterium. RNAcentral's name for it is "partial 16S ribosomal RNA". It matches the Rfam family "Bacterial small subunit ribosomal RNA", at positions 338 to 795 of the family's 1533-position model. The record is from RNAcentral.